UGAGACACGAUUCCAGAGAACAUGGUUGGAGUUAAAUGCUAAGUGUGUUAGCCUGCAUAGUAGGUGGUCUGAUUGGUCAGUUGCCAAGUCCGACAUGUUGAAUGUAGACCCACCUUGAGCCCUUGCAAGCCAUUGGGCCCUCUUGAUUUAAGGCUGAUGUGAUUUGGUUUGAUUCCCCCGCAGAUGAAUUCUCUGCUUCCUGGGAGGUGCAUAUUCCACCCAUCUCACCAGAUGAUCCAAUAGCUACUAGCUUUGCAACACUAACCAGGGAUCCACACUAGUGUAUCUACUGCCAACUAUCUGCACCCUGCAUUUGCUGGCAAUUAAUGUUUAUAUUGAGUUUGAAACCGUUGCAUUCCCUACGUUGCCGCAGCAGCAGCUAUCAGAACCAGCAUUUUGGUCCUGGAGUUUACAGAGAAUUAACUGUGUUAAGAGGUUUUCUUUCAAUAUAGAUAAUCUAUAGAAAACCUGGUGUGUUUGUCUUUCGCUUUGAGACUCACCACUGACUGUUGUGGCAGGACUGUACAUGCACAAGAUGACCGUCCAACGAGAAACUAGCAUUCUGGUCACGAAGACUUAACUGCAGCCUGGGGCUCAAAUCUCCCUCUGAAUACCCAAUUUUUCUCUCUGGUGCCUUCUGGUUUGUCUCUUUCUGCAUAAUAAUCUUCUCUGAUUUACUUCCACGUGGAGAGUCCUUACAAUUCUCACUGUGCCACUCUGGAGACUACGCUGUAUAACCUAUGGGCAUAUUCUUUGUUCGUGAGGGGCAUGACUCUCGCAAGUCUUUUGACCUUAGCAACAAAAUUAAGCACUGGAGCGAGUUGAUGAGUUUAAAGUCAAGCAAACAGAAGAUCGUCUUUAUGAGAAUUCCAGCAGAUUUUUACAGACACAUUUAUUUCGCGAGGCCUGUGACAAGUACUGCUUCUGCUGGCUCUCUCAGAGCUCCAUCUUUUCGAAGAUGAUUGAGGCGACGCUUGCGCUCCCUCGGAUGGAUAUAAACCUGCUCACCCAGUCCUUUCUCUUCCACCCUUCCACUGGGGAAUGGCAUUGCGUGCUGCUGCACUACCGGCAGCUCCCCCUGCCCCUCCUCAGAACUUAAGAAUGAAGUUCUCAGUUCUGAUCACUGUUUUUCAAGUCUUCCUCACCACUGUGCUGCGUGUAUUCUGUGGAUUUUCUCCCUUGCCUGCAGCCAGCUUAAUUUUGACUGUGGACGUGCGAGAGUUUCUGUAUGCAUCUGAAUGAUCAUCCGCUGACUUGUGUGACCCACGUCCUGGGUCGAUUUGGAAUUCUGUUUAAGAGCGGGCUCUAUCCACUACAAACAGCAUUGAUUCAUGACAUUCGACAUCUGCUGUGGAUCAGUUUGUACAUGGGUGGAUCAUAACACUUCAUGCGGAUCAACCGAGGGUUUGUUGCACAUACUACAACAGUUGUUGGUUGUGCAACCCAGCAACCUCGGUCUUCAGUAAGUAACGGGCUUGAGGGUUCUCGAAGGUACCAGCUUUUUGUUUCAAGUGGUUUAGUCAUGUGGUGUGUGUGCAGGUUGUGGAACUUAUCGGUGAUGUCGUUGGUCGACAGCCAUAUCUCAUGAAUGGCCUUCCUCUGGUUAAUCCUACUUGAGUCUGACCACGUUGUUCACCUCCAACAUCAUCAAGUUUUUAGCAUCAUCUGGGUUUCUAAACUACUGCUCUAGACCCAAAACCUUUUGUUGUAUCUUUCACUCCUUGUCACUUAUCAACUUAGUAUGUGUCCUUGGGUGCAAGGGACCCGACGUUAGGUUGAUGUUUUACUAGCCUUAAUCAGUCAGAUAAUUCACAGAAUGUGCGAGGCAAUGAGCGGUCGACACAUCUUCUUAUUCUACGGAAGGUGGACAGCUGAGGGUGCUGCGGAAUUAUGAGAUCUGCGCCAGAGCAUUACCAGUAAUUGGAAGGAGCAAGUAAUGUUGCGGAGGACCAGGAUGUGAUGAUCAGAUACAAUCCGGCGGUGGCAUUGGGAAUGUCCAUCACAACCUGCCAACAUUCCAGGUUAUGUUGACGGGUCGUGAUGGGCACUCUCAGCGUCUCAUGUCACAAAAACGCAGACAUCUCACUCCGUCACCAACACAGUUCUGAAUAUACGUGCAGUACGUCGAUCAGGCGAUCUCUUCAGGUAAUGUUCAUAUCAGAGUUGUAGUCCCGUAUUUGAACAAAUGGUUUCAAAGCGCGGUCCUUGAAAAUUACACGGAAUCAAAGAACCGCCGGAGCUUUAGGAAAAUUUAUGGCAAUUUUAGUCAUGGUAAGUAUGUUUUCCAAAUGUAGUUGACUCGUGAACUGGGUGGAAAGAGGUUCGAAACCAUGUCCAUGCAUUAUUCUCAAAGAAUACCUCAUGAUUUCUAAGCACUAAAAGCAUAGAAAGUACUCGGAACGUGCAAAUGCUACCUGUCUCUCGUCUUACUCUGACUUCUUCUUUAACCCUGACCAUGUGGGUACCAAAUCUGUCUGAUCAAUUGAAAUUCUAUUUCAUUUAGUAUGAUAAUAAUUUAUCCAGAAAGCAAUCGGAAUAUGUCCCAGUUACUGCAACUUUUCAAAAUACUUCCUGAAAUACUUCGAGCAGGUGAAAUGCUCGGUGCCAAAAGAUUAUCGUCUCUACAAAGUUUUUGUCGUACCUUCGAGGUUUCUGAAUGUUCCUUUUCUAGUGAUGAUGUUCCUUGAUUUAUCUAGACAUCAGAGCUGGCGCGAGUAGAAUUAGUUACAUUGUGUGACGACAUGAAUUUACUUCUACUCCAUAGAAAAAACGAAUGCUUCCUAGCGAAGAAGAUAAACUUGCUGAACGCCUGCAUAUCAAUAUCUCAGAGCUGUAAUCCCCUUUAGGACAGAGACUCUGUCUGAUUGAAAGUGGAAUCUCAAACUUUGACCACCACACUGUUGUAUCUCUGUUCCUAACAAUGGAAUAAAUUUUCAGGUAGAAAACAUAAUUUCAUGAAUGUUUGUGCCUUGAAGCUUGGAUGUAACUGGACUCCACAAAUCGCACGAGCAUUAACUCUGCCAAGAGGGUUUACAAUGGACUUUGUUCUCGUUGAAUUAUUUCUGUUGAGUUGUCAAGUUUGCACAAAAAUUCUAUUUGUCAAUUUUGAUCACUUGUGAAUCAUACUGGAAAUGAUUUUCAAAAGAAAGAGUUAUAGUUGUUCUACGAAAAUCAACUGUGGCCAACAAAGAAAAGACUCAGAUUACACACAUAAUUAUUUCUUUUACUGUUUGACAUACUUACAUAAAGAAUUAAGAUGAUUUUCUUGAUUAAAAAAUAAGUAAGAUAAAAACAUUACAUACACAACAUUCAUACAUUUUGUGGAUGUCAUAUCAAUGGUGUCAGACUUUCAAAAAAGAAAAAGAAAAGAAAAGAAACCAGAACAGAAAUUAAAAUAGAUAUAAACUGAAAUUAUUUCAUAUGUAAAUGUACUCCAGAAAACUUCAUCACCGUUUUAUUUUUAAUUAAUUUCUUAUUUCACGUUGUCAAAUUUGUAAAGUUAACGAUUACCAUUAACUAUUUACUUGUCAAUCUUGGAAUGAGUCGUUCUUAAUUGUAGAGUCCAUCUUAUUCAUCUCACAUGUGUGCAACAAUGAAUUUAUUUCUUUAAGGAAAUUUGAAAAAUUGGUUUGUGAAGUAUCGUCUCCGAAGUACUACAAACCUUGUGGAAAUACGCACAGAAAAGUCUGACUUUAUUCAUCAUUUUGACUUACUCGCAAUAAAACACUAUCAAGUGCAGCCGUAUGGCUCGUCUUAUGUCGGAUAGUCUAGAAUGAGAAGAGCUUGAAGGUGCAACUUUAUUGGUAUUCAGGUACAAUGUUAAAAUCCAAUGCAUUCACAAAGCGUGAGCUUUCAACUAGUUAGUAGCCAACACAGCAAUGGCAUGUAAAAUCUAUUACAGUGUUCAGACAUCGAACAUGCGUAGCUUCUGACCAAUAACACUCCAGAAGGUGAACUUCGUUUCAACUCCGGUAGGAAAAGUUAGGCUCUGAAUGUUCACCGUAUUGAAAUUUCGGAAGUCUGGAAGAAUCGUCGUGGAGUGUUGUGCACAGAGCUUCCUCAAUUUUAGAUUCAAUGACCAGAACGAACCCAUUUCUUGAUCACUAGCAUGAAACACAGAAUCGCAGCAACAGGAUCUCUACAACCAAACUCCAGUCCGCAAAAUACAUAUGCAACUGGUUGACACAAUGGAAUAUCCAGUCCUGCAGCUUACGUUUUCCAUGUCUGAUACGAGUGCUAAUCUCAGUUUCUACAAACUGAUCAGAACAACGUGAGUGUUAAGGCAACUGUUAAGGCAGUAGGACGAAGAUCGCCCGGAAAGCUUCACAGUGCUGACACCCCUGCUAGCAAACACAAGUUUAUGUGAGAUUCAAGCGGCCCCACCUAGUUUACAGAUGUCUCUCGGGAUCCUACGUAGCAACAAACAUAAUAAUACCCAGCUAGAUUUUUCAUCUGUUAGCAAGACGCAAAAUCAGGACAUAGGAAUUUAGAAACAGACCUUCCAUCAAGUCGCAAUGAAAUGGUGUAAGUAUAUUCUGUAAUCGGUGGACAGAUCUGACGACCUACAACUUCUAGAACAAUUGCAUGCUGAUGAAAAGAGGCUUUUCAGAGGUAUGGCACGUUCUCUCAAACGAUGUCCACUUCUGGCGAUGGUGCAAGUUCUGAAACAUUUGGCAUUGCUUCUAACGCUUAUGCCAAUCAGCGCCACGCCUGACAAUGCGGAUUAUGCUGUUGUAUAAUCUACUGUACUAGCAUUGAAAAAUUCGGAACACACUAUUCAGCUAAAAAGUCAACAUUGAAAAGCCGCAUAGAUCAGGCUUUCCGCACUGUCAUGAAGCAGUGGGUAAACACUGACCGGGCAUGUAACCAUACAGGGCUGGUGAUGUGGCUGGAUUUAAAAGACAAAUGAAGCUCCCCAAACCUACAAGAAAUGUCAAUCCUAUCACUGCACAUUACACCAACAAUCAUAAGCUGUAUGAGAUGACAUAGUCAAUACAAAGGAAUCUAACCACCUUUUUGCAUCCGUACAAUGCAAGUUAUGACAACUGUUACUCCAAUGAUAAAGCACCUUUGUUAUACGGCGAUUCGAGGGCAUCACCAACAGCUGGCAAACCCAUUACGUUGCAGAAUAUAUGAGCCACCAAGGGAGCUACCAGAUGUCCUACAUGCCACCCAAACGUUCUCAUCAUUUGAAAGUAAAUCAACUUCAAAUUAACCAACCUUCACAUACGUAUCAAAAUAUAUGAUUUAUGUCCACUAAAUACACACAGUUUCACUGCAGCAUUUAGCCAAAGUGGAAUUCUGAACGCUGGAAUAAACAUACCUGUUCGAAGAUAAAGAAAGGCUGCGUACCAACCAAAAAUAGUGGUGUAUGCAAACCUAAAACCUGCGCGGUGAAAAAGUAGAUUCCAUUCGUUAGGGCAUAAGUAUGUUAUAAUAUUAAGUAAAAGCUUGAGAUGGUUUACCAUGCUUUGAUUAGACAAAUAUUACUGUUGCAGCUUGCUUGAAACUCAGGCAUAAUCUCUACAAGCAAGACUAUCAAGUAAUGCGUUCAUAGAGCGAUCGCUUGAUUACUUUAUUGAUACGCAUCAGUAGUAGCUGAGAUAAAGACACGUCCUGCUACCUGUUAUCAAGUACAGAAAAACAACCAGAUGAACGUCGCCUCGUUUGUGCCUGUCCGAAUGUACACAAACUUUCAUAAAAGGAUACCUGUAAUGAGUGCCGCAAUUUUGUGAUUUCGAUUCUCGGGAUACACCGUCUCCCAGUAAUGAUUCAGGUGAGCUGCAAGGAAGGACAAGAAAAAACAUCAAGACAUAUGAAAACUUGUAUGUUCUCAUGAAGCCCAAAGGAAUUAAGCUAGCCGGAAAGGGCUACUGAGAGUAGGAGAAAGGAAAUCAUCCAAAACGUCUUGAUCGAUCGAAGGCAGAAUUAUUCAAUCGUCGCUUUCCAUUGUUUUCCAGCAUCGAGCUUGCAUAUGGCCAUAGGCCAAGAAGAAUUAGUUUGCAACAAGGCUAUCUAUUCUUCAAAAUGAAGAACAUAAAGAGUUUAAUCUUACCAAGGCCAAAAUACAGUGGACACAGAAGCAUGACUUUGAGUUGAGAAUAGCCCGCACACAAUAAUACUGGGACCAUGCAAGCUCGGAACACCCACUCCUCAGUAAGUGGCCCCUGUUCCAAGCAGUCUAAUGAAAGGUGAACACAAUGGAGCAGUAUCAUCAACCACUAAGCAUCAACAAACCAUAUAUUAGUAAUGAAGGAUACCUAACAUCUGACAAGUUACAACAAGAACCCGAACAACCUAAAUUAGACUAGUUUGCGCAAGUCAACGACACAUUUCACAAACUGGCAGAUUGGUAUCUUACCACAAUGUAGUUGCGCCAUGCAAAUAUGUCGGUAGUCAAGGAAAUUACAUUAUCUCUCGUCCUGGUAAAGAGGCCUUGAAUAAACCCCAUCUCUACUUUCGCCUCAUCUUCAAGCCUCUCGUCUGUGUUCAGAGCUGUCAUGACCAGGGGGCCAAGGUAUAGCAGAGCAGUCAAGAGUAGGGGAUAGAGUGUUGCCUGCCACUAAGAAACGAAUGUUGGGCACGAGAGAGAGCGUGCAAAGAAAACGAAAUCAUUUCACAAUAUAGCUCAUCAACCUCAAGCACAACCAGAGGAAUCAAAGAGCAUCAAUAGCUAUGUUUUGAAGCUCUGCUUCUAUCAAGGUUCAUAAUAACACUGAUAUCUGACAAAUUGAUGCUUGCACAUAUAUUGCAGCUUUAGAGAGUUCUGCUUGGAAAUUAUCAUUAUCUUCAGCUUUGAAGAGGAGAAUUAGACGGAGCAGGAGGGUGUCGGAAUAGUAACACAUACGACAUGGUCUCUUCGAAUGCCAAGUACGGCGAGUGCUGCUGGUAGGUCACCAUUUCGGAGCAUAUCAAUCUGGAAACGUCAGACAUGCGGAUUAUUCAAAAAUUAAGAUUCAAGACACUGUGAAAUAAUUACAUUAUCAGUAAUACAUCCCACACAGCCUACUAAUAAUGUGCGUGGGUUUCACGCUCCUAAUUACUCAUUGCUUACUCACUUGCAAAACAGGUGAAGAGAUCACUUACAGGUGAACCUAAAAGCCAGAAGCAGAGUCCAGAGGCGAGGACGGAGGCAACAACCGAGCACGUAAACCGCCGAAUGUAAUGCUCGUUGAUGGUUCGUGCAGGUGGCAGGCGAAACAAAAGGCUGGGGGUGUAAAGCAUGCCCACGUAGAGCACUGCCAUCGCCGCGCACGCUAAUAUGGCAGUACCGGAUGAAAAACUGGGAUUAGCUGCCAUGGCUUUAGCCCCUGGAAUAAUGUAGAGUGGUCUCAGCUGGAGAUUAGUGCUGCCAAUUUUUGCUCAUGAACAUUCGAGGGACGGGGAAAGCUUCAAAAUCUUCACAUGGGAUCACUUAUAGCAUGGACGUAGUAUAACAACUGCAACCUCAUGGUUCUCAUGAGGUUUCGACUCUGCUAUUACAAUUGAGCUCCAUGACAGAGAUGAGAGACACAAAAUUAGCUACUAAGGAUUGACUACCCAAUGUGCUCAAUUGGAAACCUAAAACUAUCCAUAAAACCUAAGUCCGAAAAAAACAACGUCAAUCUGCAGAGCAAUAAAAUCUAAACGGUCAGACUAGAAAAACCAACAUUUCCACUAAACCUGGUAGCCUCGAAUUGACAGAAUUGGAGAAACCAUCGGAAAGAGACGAUGGAGUGACUGCCACAUCGCCACAAGCUUUGACCUCAAUCCCCAUUACCUACAUGACACAAAUACGCAUCGCAGAAAAAGACCCAAUAUAAGUUAUGUACCCAUGGUUCUGCACACGUCGAUACACAUCAUGUAUCGUGAGGCUUUCCCGCAAAGAUUCUGAAACGGGUUACCACGGAGAAUCAAUCAUACAACAUUUCCAUCGUCGAGGUAUGAUGAGCAUCUCGUCACCUACGGAACACGCCCAUUGCCAAUCGUUUCGUGUAGAAAUCAUCCAUGUCACUUCAUCACACCAACGUGAAAGUGUGCGAGGAAGGCCUCGUGCGAUCUAGACUAGGAUUUACAGUGUCAGAGAUCCAACGGAUCAAUUUACGUUGAAGCAUCUUCUCGAUGAGGAGGUGGCAUGUGGAGAGGGGUGGAGAAAUUUUUAGGGUCCGCGCAAAGUAGGAAAGAUGAGACGAGCUGGAUUAUUAUUCGUUGGAUUUCCCCAUGAUUAUGAAAACUUAAUUUUGCAAAUGCACAUCUCGGAUGCACUUGUGCCGCUGGAGGGACAGCUGCAGAGAAUUCUCCUUGGUAACGAAGGGUCCCCAGGGCGAGAUCCGAAGGCCGACACCAUCUAAGAGCUGUUUCUAAAUUUUAAUUUUAGUUGGUCGUGAGAAUUAAUCGCAUGGACUUUUGAAAAUUAUGGUGAUGUGAGUUCAUUUGACACCACUAGGUCCCACGCAUCAGAUGCUUGCACUAGCCCUAAUUAGGGGUGUGUCUCAGAUCCUCCUGAAACUCCGUCCUGAAGGGGAACCCUUGCCGCAAUGGCACGCUCCCAAGUCUCAUGUGACAGUAAUCGGGCAAGUGAUCCCCGACACUAGGUGGAGUCCCUGGCGCUAUGCGCAAAUUCGUUGAUUUCUUUGCGUUAUGUGGGUGCCCAAUAGGGUGCGUUUCUGCUAAUUUCGAUAGUGACUUAUGUCGAGAAUUGUGUGAUUGAGAAUUGACGUGCACUGCGAACUUGCGUUGGACUUGAAUUCUUAGUGUUUGUUUCGAGUUUUGAGGGUGCGUUACAGGGCAAGCGCCUGCUGUGCGGAGUGGCGUACGAGAUGGAGCACAAAAUUGCAGCUCUGCGGUCGCAGUUAGCGGAUCUAGGGCAGGAGCAUGUUUUGGCGGGGCUUUCUUCAGGGGACUCCUCUCAACGGCAAUCUCUGGUUGAUCAGGUCUCCAGCAUCGAUCUUCCUCUCUUCCGCCGUGCCCUCGCCGAUGUGGUUAGAACUCUCAAAGGCAAUAAAAACCGGUUAGUUAUAGAUCUUCCAUUUCGGGUAUCCUGCUUACGUAUAUUGUUACAUUGGUGCGCUUUAUCGGAUUCUUUGUCCGCACUUCACUAGGCCUUUGGAUAUGCAAACUUAAAUCUAUUUUCAGAGUAUUGUGCUUGGAUUCGGCGCUCUGAAUCAUUUCGUUUGUUUUGGAGUUGUCAAUGAAGGGAAGCUUUAUGAUUCAGUGUAAAUUUCGCGUAAGUACUCCGCAAAUGUCAUCAAACUUUAUGUCCUCAUUGUCUAGACUCUCUUGCCCGUCGCCAGAUUGGAUAAACAGCCUAUUCCUCCAAAACCUUUUCCACAAGCGAAGUGGGAGGGUUUGCAUGAAUGGAUCAGCAGCUCGGGGGACACUUCGAAUGAGAAAGACGACACUGCAAGAUGGUGGAGUGAGGGAUUGCGGCUUGUAGCUGAUGGCGAAGUGGCAGUUCUGGUUUUGGCUGGAGGACAAGGGACUCGUCUUGGCCCUGGUGCACCGGUGGCGAAGGGCAUGCUGGAGCUCAGCGUUCCAGAGCCUAAGUCGUUAUUUCAGCUUCAAGCCGAGCGUUUGCUUCUCGUAGAAGAGCUUGCUGCCUUUGUGCGUACCUUGUCUACCUUUUCCAUGGUGUCUAAUAUUUGAAAAUUCGUCACAAGUAGGCGACAGCUUGCUUUCACUGUGCUCAGCUCGUCGAUUGAAAGGCCUUGAAGUUCCGAUGUUAGAUUGCAACAAUUAUGCGAUUCGAUGUCAAUCAACUUGACGAAGCUCCCAUCAAAAACUUCACAUCCUGUAUGAAGCAAUGCGAGUGAUUCUUCAGAGAUGUUGACAUACCAACAGGGUUGUGUGCCACUGUGAAGGUUACGGAUGACACCAUCAAGCGUCGAAUUCCUUGGCUAGUCAUGACCAGUGAUGCCACGGAUUUAGCUACGCGGACUUUUUUUGAGGAGAAGAACUUCUUUGGGCUUGAGAAGUCGCAGGCAAGCUGAACUUCUAUCCCCGCGCACACUAUGGUAUAAGUUAUCAGAGUGUUUGGAAAGUUUCCAAUUUGACUUCCUUUAAUGUUGGGCAUCCUGGAUCCUAUUAGUUGCCGUUUUAUGUUCAGUUCUUUCUGGGCUCUUGCAGGUUUGGUUUCUGAAGCAGAGUAGUCUUCCAUGUGUGGAUCUCGAUGAAGGCCAUGCCAUGCUCAUGGAGGCACCAUGGAAGGUGGCCAUGGCUCCAGCUGGAAAUGGGGCUCUUUUUUCUGAUCUCCGCACAGCUGGCUUCAUCAAGAAGUUAUCCAGCCAAGGGGUGAAAUAUGUGCAGGUUUUCACAUGACUGAAUAUCUUGCCGUUUCUAAUACAGCUGAUACAGCAUCUCAUUUCGUAUUAAAAUAAUUGUUAUAUUUUUAAACUAUAUUAUUCUAGCAUUGCGACAAACUUGUUUAAGCAUUCUUCAUGUUAGUGGCUGGAAUGCAUUUUGCACUGAUUCAGUCAUUCCAUACGGUUCGUGCAUUUAUAUUCGACACUUUUAUUUAUCAAUGAGGAUCUUGCUAGCAGAAUCGUGUUUCAUAUAGCCAACGGCAAACCUUGAUGCCCACGCAGGUGUACGCAGUUGAUAACGCUUUGGUAAGAGUUGCAGAUCCAGUGUUCUAUGGUUUUAUCCAUCGGCGUCAAGCAGAAGUGGGUGUGAAGGUGGUCUCCAAGAUCCACGCGAAAGAGUCAGUUGGGGUGGUUUGCCUUCAUCAGGAAGGAGCCUCAAACCUCAAAUGUGAGCGGUACGGAGUCCUAGAAUACAGCGAAAUGCCAGAAUCACUGACCACGGCUAAAGAUAACUCCGGACAACUCCAAUUUCGAGCAGCCCAUAUUUGCAUCAAUAUGUUCUCCGUGCAUUAUUUAGAAAAAUUGACAGAUUUGGAUUCCCAGCUGGAGUUUCAUCCUGCUGUGAAGCGGAUCCCACACAUGCGAAAAACGUCUGGUAUUUGGGAGACGGUCAAUCCAGCGAGGCCGAAUGGAAUUAAACUUGAGCAGUUUAUCUUUGAUUCAUUUCAAAGCUGCGACUCGGAGAAGGUGAGCCAGCUUCUCCGUGCCUCUGAAUUACUCUCUCUCUCUCUCUCUCUCUCUCUGAUGUUCAUACAAGAAUUUUCUUUGCAUACUUCGUACUUCUCAACCCUCUCGCUGCAUGUCGGGUAGGUGGAAUUUGACUUGCGGGUGUGAAUUUAAUGUCUGUGUGUAAAGGUUGCACUCUUAGAGGUGAGCCGUGAGGAGGAAUUUGCACCUAUCAAGAAUGCUGUCGGUCCAGGUAUUGCAGACACAGUAGCCACUGCUACUGAACUUCUCUUGGCACUCAAACAACGAGUGAGCGCUUUAACACCAGAAAUAGGUGCAGUGAGCAAGGGGUUCGCGCUUCUCAAAGCGUAUGCUGGAGGCGCCACUGAGAGCGCAACUUCAGACCUUGUGAAUCUUAGCAUUGAAUAAUCUAUUCCUUUGAGUUGGCCCAAUUUCGUGAAGUAGGGACUUCUCGAAGUCUGGAGGAUUGCAGGAUGAUAAAGUGAAAUGACUUCACCGCGUAUUGUCGGAGUCGAUUCCAGCGACUAUGAUUGGCUUCCUCAUUUCGGAUUGUGAAGUGGUACCUUUUUUGUCUGUCACGUGCUGGCAUCUGAAAGGAUUAGUUCGGGCAGAUUCUCUUGGCCUUGAAGAUCGGCAAGUCAUGAUUUAGGCUAGUAUUAGUCGUUAGGCAGCAACGAUGCCUUGAAAACUUGGAAGAAAAACGAGUGUUGUGGACUACUGGUCAGACUCUAGAUACGUAGCUAUUAAGUCUACAUAUUGAGGAUUUCAAAAACUUUGCGUACGUUGAAUUGUUGGUAGAAGACAUCUGACAUGACUGCUUCAGUAUAACUGAGUAUUUUGAUUCAACCACUGCUGAGUUCUCAUUCUGUACUUGAUGAACGUGGCUCACUGUGAACCUGCAGAAAUCUUAAACGUGUUGCUGCAGCAAGCAUGCUCAACCGCGGUUGAUCAUGUUUUCAGCAGCAUCCAGGGUUCUGAUGUACUAGACCGAGCAUGCGGAUCGUUGUCCAUGUGAUGUCGGGUCUACUCUCUCGUUCAAAAUGAUGUAUAUUGACACCAGUACCCAUUGAUGUCCUUGGACAUGGUCGCACAAGUUUCUGGUCAAUCUCUUAUCCACUUUUGGUGAACACCCCAACCAUACUGUUUUGAGUAGCCAGUAUGAAGGCACCAAAACUUUGACGCGAGGUUUGUGACCCACAGGUCAAAGACGAGAGUCAGACUUCACUCCUUUCAGUACGAAACAACUGCAUCAAUCACAACGACUAGAAUUGACUACAUAACUGUACAGACUCCUGCUUGCUCAUUUUCUACUCCUGAAAGUGUAAGACGGACUAUUGCUGUCUUAUUAUUGUAUGCUUCACAAAGCUGCAAAAAUGUGUGAAAUCCGGAUCAUGAGUCCACGUAGAAGAACCGUAGAACUCGUGCGUGGACUGCGAAAAUCCAUGAAUGAAGCAACCAGGACACAUGACUUAGAAUCUAGAAUCGGCAAAAUUGCAAGGACCCAAAAAACGCAUACAACAGUGUAUGUGUCCAUGCAGGAGCUGAUUCCUUUGAGAAGAAGGGAGGGUUGGAUUUUCCAUGCUUUUCAACAGAUUUUCAUGCUGAGCUGGUAGUUUAAUAGAAACAACUUAGAUGUGAGAAAGAGAGAGAGACAAAGGCAUUUUUCUUGGGCUUUGACCCCAAAAUCUGAGACCAAAUCGAUGGCUUCAAGUCAAACAAUAUGUUCAUGAGUUAGUGGUGUGCACCUUUAUGCUUUGGAAAAAAGCAGUCACUUUUGGUUUUGUUUUAUCACAGUUAUGUCUUAUUUUUCUCUCUAUUAUUAUUAAAAUCAUAGUUUAGUUUGUUGUUGUUGGUAAGUAGCAUAAUUGUUUUUUGUUCCAAAUAUUACUAAUAUAAUAGGAAUCCUAAUUAAUUAAUUAAUUAGUAAAAACUAUAUAUAUAUAUUAUUUAUUUAUUUAUUUAUUAUUUAAAGGAAUUAUGAAAGAGUCCAUCAAGCACUAUAAACAUUUCAAAACUUCUCAUAUAACAAAUUGUUCUUUAUUUUGAUUUAUGGUCCGUAAGAUAGCCUCUUGCGUGUUUCACGUUGUUGUAUGUAAUGCAUGAUAUGAUUUAAUCAUACGCACUUCCAAUGUCCGUUUUAAUGUUUUUUUUAGUUUUCUUUUCCGAUGUUAUGGGAUAUUAGAGUGCGCAGUGAAUGUGAUUUCACUCUUCCAUUGUUUGUAGUCACAAGAGCCAUGGUCUAUAGAAAUGGACCUGAAACGGUGAAGAUUGCAAGCUUCGAUUACUUGCCCACAAUUGGGUUCACAUACGCGGGAUCCUGCAAAUCCCACGACAAAACUGUGAAGAUCGACAGAGAGAUGGAUGCACAUCCACGUUAGUUAGUUUCGGCGCAGUAAGUGGCCCCAACGAAGGAAGAGUCCGUGACCGAUCGACUGAUUGACAGACAAAUCGUCAGAUUCGAAGGGUGGGGAACUGAUGAAACCAGAAUGCCGCAUGUCGGUUGGCACAUGACCCGAAUCACAAGACUGAACUCGCGAGAGGAGAUCCAACAGCACGCCAGCACUGCGGCUCUGAUCUAUUCGGACAACAUCGAUAUGGAUAUGGGGAGGGAGUGGUGCACGUGUUUGAGCAGCGCUGCAUCAAUGGGAGAGGCAAUGUGGUGACGAGCAAGGUCGGGGAACGAAGGAAUGGUUGCAAUGGGGCCGGAGUGCUCACCGCAACGAGGCACCCAUCCUGGUGUGGGAAAACAAUGUUUACCGGCGUGGACGAUGGAAUUGUUGACGGGCCUUGAAGUGCUCAUAAUGCAAACCGCGGUUCCAAGUCCUCGGGCUAUGGCGUCCCACUGCUACUACCCCCUUGCCUAGCGUAAGAAGCAGGUCAAGACUUUUCCAGAUUGAGUUAAUGCGAGCGUUCGAGGCAACAACUGCAGCUCCCGAAAGCACGGCCGAGAAAAGCCCCAAGCGACCAUAGUUAACCGUUACCAGUUCGAGGGCCGACGCGGGGCCCGCAUCCGCAUCAAGUUUUUAAAUCGGAGAAGGACUCUGCGGACUGCGGUGGAAUCGUGUGGAGCAUCUCUCUGACACACUCAGGCCGAUCAUGCGACUCCUCGCCGUCCUUGUGCCUCGUGUCCGGCAGCGCAGCAAACCUUCAGUUUUACCGCAUCGUUGUGGAUGAAAGUCGUUCCGAAAAUAUAAAUUAUCCGUGCGUCAGUGGGCACUUUGGAGGUGUGUCAGUAAAUGAGGCCUGGACUCUCGAUGCAUGUCGAUGUCGAUGUCCCUUGGCGCGUGUUUUUUUUAUCGACCCGGAAUGGCGAGUUUUGGCCGCAGUCAAUCUCAUGAGGCGGGGCUUGAAUCAACGUUAGAGUGGCGAGUCACAAGAGUAAUUAGGCGGAGGGUAGUUAGAUUUUGUCGGUGGGUUGGUUGCACCGGCCUGUGCUCCUCACGAGCAGGUUACGUAGCUAGCGUUGGAUCCUUGGAAGGACAAGUGCACAGUCGGCAGUGGUGAAGUGACUCGUUGUCGUAGUCGUCGUCUGUCUCAGUGCUGGGUUCGACAUCCGGUGGGACGAGGUUACGCUAGGCUGAAUCCGUGUGGGGUGUAUGUCAAAACGUCUGGUUGUUAAGGGGCGCCGCGUCUCCGAUUCGGUGGAUGAAGGGUGGCGUUGGAACGGAGAUUGAGGAAAGUGAGUUGAAGGUAACGUGCAUUAUUGAGGUGGAUGCAUGGCCGGUGCUUGAGCAUUGCAUGUCGAAUCGCAGCUGUCUCCCCUCCUGACGCUGGCGGAAUCGAUCGACUCCAACUCUAGCCCACCCGCUUUCGGUAAUUUCUUGGAAUCAUAGCAAUGACGUAUCUGUGCCAUAUGAUAAACUUAAUUGAAUCAAGUUGCAACGAUGUGCUUUCGGAUUGUAGAUUACCCCUGGACAAACGUUAUGGCCUCUUAGUUGGAAUAAAUUUCCGCCGAAUUUCUAGAAUCACCUCUUACAUUGAUAGCUGUCGGCGAUUUGCAGUCUCUAACGUGUAGGAUUUCGUCCAUGAGAGACCAAGGUGACGAAUAGAAGUAAGGGCAGGGUUGAAUCACCGUUUUGCUGAGUGGUUGAAGCCCAUUUGCAGCGCAGUUGUGCUCUGUGGAGGUUGAAUGUUUUCGGUGAAUUCGACCGUUGCAGGGUGCCUCAUAAGUCCAGCGGAUUGAUUGGCGCAGCUUGUGCUUGAAUGAUCUUUUUGACUUCUUCUAACCCAGGAGAGACAUAGACCCUCCGCUUUGAAGCGUAACUUUCCUCUUUGGACCUGAUAUUCAAGCCAGUUCAGCGAUGCUUAUUUUACACUGCGUGCUCGGAUUCAGCUUCGCGUAACUCCCACGAUGUCGCUUGAGAUGGUCUCGGGCUGUUGUUCGAGGUUGAAGUCCUUGAAAAUUAGGUGCAUAAUUGAGCCUCCGGAUGUAGCUUGUGAACUUUGCCAACUAAUGCCGCCACCAUUUCUGUUUAGGGCUUUCGCCAAUGAUGGUAAGGCUAAUUCUCGAGAUUUUCAGCGCAUUUUGUGAUGCUGGUUUUUGCUUUCGGCUCUCGUUAUAGGUGCAGACACAGUGAUUGUCGUCCUCAAGAUCCUGCUGGUAUUAUUUUCAUACUCUGCCAUUGGGAGUCUCGGUGGUCUUUAUUUAAAACCCAAUUUUGGCAUACACCGUUUUGAUCAUACAAUGCUGAGAGGAUGAUGAGCCAGUAUAGUGGCGUCAUUGUCCAGGAGAACCUCUGUAACAUUUGAAAAUCGUGAGUUAACACUCGUAAUGGUGUAGAUGCUCUGCGCAGUGUAACUUUUGACUGUGGAAUUGUUUCUGUAUGUCUCCCGGUUGCUAGGGUUAUGCAAAAGGCGAGGAAGUUGUAGGCAUUAUGGUGAGAUGAACUCGUGCGUUUAUGUAAGGCUAACUGCACUACGUGUGCUCCUCCAGAGCCGCAAGGAGUCUGAUGUUGGAGGCUCGGCGAACGCAAUUCCAGGUUCCUCUCAUGAGGGAGGUAUCAGCUUCACAGAAGAUUCGCACCCUGCAAGACCCUGGAGCAAGCUACUCUGUCACCUCUGGCCUUAGCUCAGCUGGCCGCAGUGAAAAGGUCAACACAAAAACUUUCAUCAGUGAUCCUCACGAAGAUGCUCAAGCGCUGGCCAGUGAGAUCUCUGGAAAACUCGCUAAGUUUUCAUCAAUAUCCUCCACGAGUCAUGACAGCAACAUCGGAGCUCGAAGACUAUCACAACGGCGAGGAGAGUCCAAAAGCCUCAGGAUAGACAAGCUACAGAAGCCCAGAGGGUUCAAGAAGAUGAAGUCCGAGAAGGAUAGUGGUGAAGGUGACGGUAGAAAUUUGAGUGAUUCUGCGAUGGAGUACAUGAACGUGGACGUCAGAGAAAGAAUCAAACGAAUUGAAUCAGCUUUUGAGGGAUCCAGUACCACCGUCUCCGGCGAAUUGCGGAAAGAGGGACUGAUCAAGCAAUUGAAGGAACGGGGGCGGAGAGAUGCAAAUCGAAACUCUGAAGAAAAGGCAAGUGGUAGGUAUGAACGGGAAUCUGCUCGACGAGAAGAGCUCACGAGGAGGGUCAACUCCCUCUCGCAGCUCCUGGGAAAUCAUCUAAAAGGAAGUGACCGGAGCGCGCUCAAUAUGUUGGCCAUGGUGCAGGAUGAGGAGCGUCGGAACAAUUUUGAGUUGGAGAGCUUUUUUGAGAGCGACGAGGAGGGGCUCAACCCUACGCAGAUGGAAAUGUCCCGUGCUCACGAAGCAUCCCCUCUUCACAGAGCCAUGCUGUCCCGCGGCAAAGAGCAGCCGAAAAGAAAGUCUCAAAGUCGCCAUGGCUGUGAGAAACCUGCAAGUAUGCGCGCGAAAGAAAGGGGUGACAGCAUCGAACGUCCUCGUAGCGGAAAUUCAUCCGCGCGGCUCAGAGAGAUGCCUGCGACUAUCAUACUUAACGAUGAUCUCGCCGUUUCCGACCUCCCGGAGCAAAAUGGCUGCGGAAUUUGGGACUGGUCCCGGAUCCACAAGCACGGUGGCAAGACUUUCCUGGAUCUAACAGGAUUGACGUGCACGCUUCCGGAAUCGAAGCUCCUUCAAGGCGACUUACUGACGGAACAACAUCCUCCGGUGCAGUCGAUCUCCUCUCUAGACUCAGAUGCUAAUGCAUUGCCGCUUAUGAUUGGCGAGGAUGCACACGACAGUGACCCGGGAGGAUAUUAUGUGGAGACGGGAAUGCCUCAGGAGCCUCCGCGGAAUCUGAAAGGUGGGGGAAAACGCAAGGCGUCGCUUCACAAUGCUGUCAAUGAUGUACUUGUUGAGACUGGUUCCACCAACCACCUCGAAUUGACUCGAACGUUCAAUCAGAAGUACAGGCCGAAGAAUUUCAAUGAGAUUGUUGGUCAAAAUGUGGUGGUGAAAUCCCUGUCAACUGCGGUAGCGAAAAGGAAAGCGGCACCGGUGUAUAUGUUCAUGGGCCCUCGGGGUACGGGGAAGACCUCCGCUGCGAGAGUUUUCGCAGCAGGGCUGAAUUGCUUGUCGCCGGAUUAUGCGAGGCGACCAUGUGGGAUUUGUCGAGAAUGUGGGACAAUUGCGCUCAACCGGAGCGCGGACGUGCGACAGAUCGACGCAGCCUCGAAUAUGGACAUGGCGAGCAUGCGAGCUUUGAUGGGGAGCUUCACGCCACAUGCGCAGUACAAAAUCUUCAUCGUGGAAGGGUGUGAUUUGUUGAGCUCUGAUAUUUGGAAUGCAUUUCUCAAGCUGUUGGAAGAGCCGCCUCGCAAUGUGGUCUUCAUUCUCAUCACCACUCACGCAGAGCGCAUCCCGCCGACCGCCAUAUCCCGGUGUCAGAAGUUCCAAUUUUUCAAACUGAAGGAACCUGACAUUGUGAAACGACUGCAGUUCCUGGCAGCCAAAGAGGAUUUGCGCGUCGAGGCGGACGCAUUGGCGCUAAUUGCAACGAGAUCAGAUGGGUCGCUUCGUGACGCCGAAAUCUUUCUUGACCAGCUCUGUCUUUUGGACAAGAACGUUUCAAUCGCUUCAGUUAGAGAGCUUGUACGCUAUCCUGCAACCUUCAUUCUUUUUCUGUAAUUCUUCCUUUGAGACCUUGUGGUGAACAUUCUUCAUUGUUCCAAUUUCAGAAUUGAGCGCUAAUGCUUGAUUGUUAUCUGCAUUCGGAAUUCAUUAGGUGGGCUUGCUUCCGGACAACAAGACUUUGGAACUGUUGGACUAUGCUCUUUCGGCCGAUACUGUGCGCACUGUUCGGACAAUUCGAGAAGUGCUCAUUUCUGGCAUUGAGCCUUUGACGGUGGUGUCGCAGCUAGGUUCUCUGAUCACUGAUAUUCUCGCUGGUAGUUUUGACGUCCACCGUGGAGCACGGAAGGAGGGAUUCUUCAGUCGAAGUUUCUGUGCGUGUUCUUCGUGAGCUUUGUCUUUGCCACUUCGUCUCAUGCACUACACUGAUAAUAGUCUUGUCUACAUCUCAGUUCUUAUUAGCUGGGAUCUCUCACUUUGCAGCUGUUCAGGGAGAACAUCACGGGCUCCGGAGAGCGCUCAAAAUUCUCUCGAAAUCAGAAAAGCAGUUGCGCGUGUCCACGGAUCCGGCGACGUGGCUGACUGCUGCGCUUCUACAAUUUGCUCCAGAUCGAUCGCUUCCUCCUUCCGACUUCAACAUGAAUGUAGCUCCAAAUCGCGUUGUAACCGCAUCAUCUUCCGAUGUCUCUGUCUCAGGGGAGCAGCAUCCACUUGUAGACGAACUAAAUCAGGCCAAUUCUCCAGAGUCUACCUCAAAAGGGCGAGCGCUACAAGUGUACGUAGAAAAUGGGAAGGACCCCACUUUAGAAGUGGAGACUGCGACGUCGUUGUCUGAGCAGAAAUUGGAGGAAACGUGGGCCACUGUACAGCGGACUUCUCUGGGCAGUGUUGAAGAGCUUACAGAAGCCAGACCUUCACCCGAGGCUUUCCUGGAGUAUCAGAUAUUUGGAGACAAAGAGUUGGAUGAGCUGUGGAAGCGAGCUAUUCGAAAGAUAACAAAUAGGAGUUUGAAACAUCUUCUUCAGAUCCAUGGGCAACUAGUGGCAGCUGGCAUCUCCGUUGGUAGGCAUUCAUUCAUUCUGUGUUCUCGAGUGUCAUGUGGAUCUUGUUUUUGUGGGAUUAAUUCUGUGAUGUUUGGGAUUUUGAUACGAGAGUUUGCCUCUUGAUUAUGAUGUCGUAUUUGGCACAUAUGCGCCGCGAUGAUUUCAGAUGGAUCACGCGCUGUUGUUCAACUGGAUUUCGACCAUGGACGUAACAAGCACAAAG
RNAcentral lists this long non-coding RNA (19303 nucleotides) under Physcomitrium patens. Its description in RNAcentral is "long non-coding RNA (PPAT_LNC002903)". The stretch from base 1980 to 2061 matches the Rfam family "MIR1033 microRNA precursor family". The record is from RNAcentral. Lineage: Eukaryota; Viridiplantae; Streptophyta; Bryopsida; Funariales; Funariaceae.